ACCUGGUUGAUCCUGCCAGUAGUCAUACGCUUGUCUCAAAGAUUAAGCCAUGCAUGUCUAAGUAUAAGCGUUAUACUGUGAAACUGCGAAUGGCUCAUUAAAUCAGCAAUAGUUUCUUUGGUGGUGUUUACUACAUGGAUAACCGUAGUAAUUCUAGAGCUAAUACAUGCGUAAAGUCCCGACUCGGGAGGGGAGGGAUGUAUUUAUUAGAUAACAAAACCAACGCGUGCCUUCCGGUGCGGUCUGAUGGUGAAUCAUAAUAACUGUUCGAAUCGCAUGCCCUCGUGGCGGCGAUAGGUCAUUCAAAUUUCUGCCCUA
This 318-nucleotide ribosomal RNA is filed under the name Alexandrium tamarense. RNAcentral describes it as "partial Eukaryotic small subunit ribosomal RNA". It matches the Rfam family "Eukaryotic small subunit ribosomal RNA", at positions 1 to 314 of the family's 1831-position model. The record is from RNAcentral. Lineage: Eukaryota; Dinophyceae; Gonyaulacales; Pyrocystaceae.